Molecule: ribosomal RNA, 489 nt
Filed under: uncultured bacterium
Lineage: Bacteria
Description: partial 16S ribosomal RNA
Rfam family: Bacterial small subunit ribosomal RNA
Source: RNAcentral
AUUGAACGCUGGCGGCAUGCCUUACACAUGCAAGUCGAACGGCAGCAUGAUCUAGCUUGCUAGAUUGAUGGCGAGUGGCGAACGGGUGAGUAAUACAUCGGAACGUGCCCUGUAGUGGGGGAUAACUAGUCGAAAGAUUAGCUAAUACCGCAUACGACCUGAGGGUGAAAGUGGGGGACCGCAAGGCCUCAUGCUAUAGGAGCGGCCGAUGUCUGAUUAGCUAGUUGGUGAGGUAAAGGCUCACCAAGGCGACGAUCAGUAGCUGGUCUGAGAGGACGAUCAGCCACACUGGGACUGAGAAACGGCCCAGACUCCUACGGGAGGCAGCAGUGGGGAAUUUUGGACAAUGGGCGAAAGCCUGAUCCAGCAAUGCCGCGUGUGUGAAGAAGGCCUUCGGGUUGUAAAGCACUUUUGUCCGGAAAGAAAUGGCUCUGGUUAAUACCUGGGGUCGAUGACGGUACCGGAAGAAUAAAGACCGGCUAACUACGU